UUAGAAUACAGAGAACGGCGCCCCUGCUUCUUCUUGAAUGAGGACCCCUCUCGUAUAGAAUAGAAUAAAACGGCACACCCUCAUAGCCACUCUCUGAAAACAACAGAGCAGCACUAUUCCCUCCUCCUCUCUGGCCUUACUUUCUCGUCUACUCUUCUCAACGUCAGUCAGAAUUUAGAUUUGGAAAUAGAAGAGUUUUAAAUAUUCGAAAAUAAAAUAACAAAAAAAGAAAAGAAAAAACUAUAUAUAAUUUUGAUCAUUCAUCCGGCGUAUAUAUUCUGAGUCCAAAAAGGCUUUUGGAGUUUCUAUUUGGCUGUCUGUCGCUGUAUUUUUCAACUAGUAGUUGAGCUCAACCUGCAGUUGUGUUCAUCAGCCUCUAUUUGGCUGUUUGGAGCUCUGUUAUUGCUGUUAAGGUAUUGUCCCCCUUUUCUUGAUCAUGUAAUUCUCCUUUUGAUUCAAUGAAAAUAUGUUUACCGUGCCAUGACAGCGUAUAAUUAUGUGUUUUCUUUUGUUAGAUUUAGCUGUUCUUGUUAGUGUUUAUAUUAUUCCCUUAUCCGAUUGUGCGUAAGUGUUGAUUUAGGCCUAUCUACAGUAUCUCGUAUUCAUCUUGUUAAAUAUAUGUGUUAUCUAAUGAUGAAGAUGAGCCAUGUUGUUAGGUGUAUUUGGCUGUGGUUUCAUGAAUUAGACCAUUAAUUGGUCAGAUCUUGAAAUUUCAAAGUUUAAGUAAAACAGGGCUUGCAACUUCUAUCCUGUCGAUUCAGUAUUUGCUUCAUGUUAUUACUUCUAUUUUGAUUCACUGAAUUCUUUGAGAUCUUCAGUAGUUGACAUUAUUAGCUUGUUAAUACUUUACUGUUUCUUCCCUAUUGAAUUAGUAGUUAGAGAUUAUAGUGAUUAAAUUAUAGUGGUUAAGUGGAUAGUGCUAUAAUCAAAAUUUGAACUGUAGGGAUGGGCUUAAAAAAGCUUGUUUCGAUGUUUGGCUCCGUCGACUUUGUAGUGGUCUACAAAGAAACGGCUGGGCUAUUGGUGAAUGAUUCUGUUCUUUUCACACGCAAGAUCUAUGGUCUUAUUUCUAAAUAUACCCAAUUCAAGAACAGAAUGAGGCUGCUUAUGGAUGGAAAGUUUCUAAGGAUGUUGCCUCUCAUCAGCAUGCCCGUGACAUCUUUGUAUUCUGCUACUACAAAGCAGUACCCCUCCGUUCAUGCUUGGCUAGCGCUCUAAUAGUUAUUCACUAUCUGCCAUAUUUCUCACACUAUGUGCUUUCUUCUUUCUUGGUCCAUAUCUUUUCCUUUUUUUUAACAAAUUCACAUUACCUCUUUCAUAAAGAACUUUUCAUACUUCCCAUAACCCUCAGAUAAUUAAUUUCAACUCUAUAGAAAUCGAGUUACGCCAUUACUUAAAUUUUCUAUGGCCCUCGCAAACUUGAAAGUGCGUAAUUGCUCUAGGCGCACUAUUUAAAUUAGUUUUUUUAAACUCGGGUGUGCAUUUCAUGUGACCCAAAUCCAAGUCUCAAAUAACGUUGAAUCUUCCUAAAAUUAAUUAAAAACGAUCAAUAAUUUAAAAUUUUACCAUAGGCUAAACAUGUAUUAAAAUGUGAUAAUAGGCCAAUUAUGAUAGUUUAAGCGACCGUGCUAGAACCACGAAAUCUGGGGGUGCUUAAUACCUUCCCUCGGGUUAACAGAAUUCCUUACUCAAAAUUUCUGGUUCGCAGACUUCAAAAGGAAAGUCGAUAUGUUCCUCGAUUUGGGGUUUAAAGUAAUCCGGUGACUUGGGACACCAGAAAACAAACAAUCCCAAGUGGCGACUCUGAACAAAAAAUGAAUAAAUAAUCUCAUUUCGAAUAAUAUCACUUUAAUUGGAAAAACUCCCUUAUACUACAUUCGGGUGUGUAAAAAGGAGGUAUGACACAGGCCUCCUAAGUUCAGUGAUCUAUCAUCGGAGGAUGCUCUGGGAUUUCUUGAUGAGUGUUACCGCAUUCUCCGUACUAUGGGUAUCCCAAGAUCGAGCGGAGUUUCUUUCACUACUUUCCAGCUUCGAGGAGCCGCCUAUGACUGGUGGCGCACCUAUGAGUUAGACAGUCCAGAUGCGGCUGCUUCACUGACUUGGGCUUAGUUUUCGGAUAUGUUCCUGAGAUAGUAUGUUCCUCAGAGUCUCAGGGACGCAUGUCGCACAGAGUUUGAGCAUUUGCGCCAGGGUGUUAUGACUGUUUCAGAGUAUGCUGUCUGUUACACCAAUUUGGCUAGGCAUGCACCAGCCUUGGUUACUACUGUUCGCGAUAGGGUUCGCCGAUUUAUUGAGGGGCUUAUUCCCCCAUAAGAUAUAGCAUGGCUCGUGAGUUAGAGAUGGAUAUUUCUUAUCAGCAUGUGGUGAGCAUUGCUAGGAGUUGAGGGUAUACAUGCUCGAUAGAGAGAGGAGAGGGAGGCCAAGAGGUCUCGAGAGUCGGGCCAUUUUUACGUGCCCAUGCGCCAACUUCAGGUCAUCAUGGUAGGGGUUAUAUGGGUUGCCCUGCUCAUUUAGCUCUUCCAACAACUAGUUGUGCUCCAACUCCUAGGCCUCAGGAGCUUUAUUAUGCACCUCCGGUUUCUGUGCGCCUCCUGCGCAGGGUGCUUUCAGAGGUCAGUCCAGCAGACCUGGCCCUCGUUAGUAACAACCACCACGUCCUUCCAGAGCAUUUUUUGAGUGUGGUGACAUACGACACGUGGUGAGGGAUUUCCCUAGACUUGGGAUGAUUUCACCUCCACAGACUUCUCAGCCACAACGUGCCCCGCAGAGUUCUCAGGCUAUGAUUACAGCUCCGGCUUCUACCCCACUUGCUCAGACAACUAGAGGUGGAGGUCAGAGAAGGUAGAGGUCGCCCUUGAAGGGGAGGCCGGGCUAGAUACUAUGCUCUUCCUGCCCGUACCGAGGCUGUUGCCUUCGAUUCUGUCAUCACGGGUAUUGUCAUGGUUUGUCAUCGAGAUGGAUCGAUUCUAUUCGAUCUAGGCUCCACUUAUUCUUAUGUGUCUUCUUAUUUUUCUCCGCAUUUGGGUGUAUCUCGGGAUUCUUUGAGCUCCUAUGUUUUUGUUUCUUCUCCCGUGGGAGAUUCUCUUGUUGUGGACCGCUUUUAUCGAUCAUGUUUGGUUGCUCUUAAUGGUUUUGAGACCAGAGCCGAUCUAUUGUUACUCAGCAAGGUUGAUUUUGAUAUUAUCUUAUCUUGGUCAUGGACUGGUUGUCACCCCAUUAUGCUAUUCUUGAUUGUAACGCCAAGACCAUGACGCUGGUUAUGGCCGGUGUAUCGCGUGUUGAGUGGAUGGGUACCUUAGAUCACACUCCCAGUAGAUUUAUUUCUUUUCUUAAAGCUCAGCGUAUGGUUGAGAAGGGGUGUGACACGUAUUUAAUUUAUGUGAGAGAUGUCAGUAUUGAUACUCCUUCUGGUUAUUCAGUCCUUGUAUUACAGGAUUUUUCCGAUGUUUUUCCAGGUGAUCUUCCGAGCAUGCCGCCUGAUCGAGAUAUUGAUUUUGACAUUGAUCUAUUGUCGGGCACUCAGCCCAUUUCUAUCUCUCCAUAUCGUAUGGCCCCUCCUAAAUUGAAGGAGUUAAAGGAUCAGUUAUAGGAAUUGCUUGAUAAGGGUUUUAUUCGGCCCGGUGUUUCAACUUGGAGUUCUCCUAUCCUGUUCGUGAAGAAAAGGGAGUUUUAUGCGUAUGUGUAUUGAUUAUCUCCAAUUGAACAAGGUUAGAAUGAAGAACCGUUAUCCUUUGCCUCGUAUUGAUGAUCUGUUUGACCAACUUCAGGGCGCACGGGUGUUUUCUAAGAUUGAUUUGCGCUUAGGUUACAUGUCACGACCCGAAUUUUUUCACUCCCGAGAAUCGUGAUAACACCUAUUAAUGUAAGCUAGGCAAGCCGAACCUUAACAAAAUACUAACCUUUUUCAUAUCACAUCUUUUAACCAACACGAAACAACAAUAUAAUAAGAACGAAAUUUAUAUAGAACUUAUGCAGAAGUCUUCAACUACUUAAUCAAACCAUAUAUAUUACAAAUUUUAAACUUCACACCCCAAAAUCUAGUGUCACAGUAUCACAAAUCGUCUAAGAGUCACUAAAUACAAAGCCUAAAGAAAUACAUAAAACUAUUUCUGAGCAAGGAUGAGGAAACAGGAAAUGGGAUAGAGGUGGACGCCGGGGCCUGCGGACGCUUGCAGGUCUAACUUGGGUCUCCGAGUGGACUGAAGGAAGCUCUCCAACUAAUGUCCGAUAGCUGCUCCGGGAUUUGCACACAGUUUAGUGUAGUAUCAGCACAACUGAUCCCAUGUGCUGGUAAGUGUCUAGCCUAACCUCGGCGAAGCAGUGACGAGGCUAGGACCAGACCAACAAUUAAACCUGUGCAGUUAUAUAAUAUACAACGGAAAGUAAAGCAGAAAUAAACAAGUAAAGAUGGGAAGGGGAAACAUGCUGCGGGGGUAUACCAGUAUUAACAGUGAAUCCAGAGUAAUAGUCUGAAGACAGCUUAGAAUUUACAACGUACACAAGAAACUAAUAUCCAAAAUAAACCCACUUGUAUCAAUAAUUAUUGCGGUGCGCAACCCGAUCCCAAUAUAUAACAACACUGUUACAGCAUGCAACCCGAUUGAUAUCAUUUAGCAUUGUUGCGGUGUGUAACCCGAUCCACAAAUACCAUAGUUGCGGCGUGCAAACCGAUCCAUGUGAUUUAGCAUUGUUGCGGCGUGCAACCCGACCCAUAAAUACCAUUGUUGGGGGUGCAACCCGAUCCAUGUCAUUUAGCAUUGUUGCAGCGUGUAACCCGAUCCACAAAUACCAUUGUUGCGGCGUGCUACCCAAUCCAUGUCAUUUAGCAUUGUUGCGGCAUGCAACCCGAUCCACAAAUACCGUUCAAUGCACGACAUCACACUUCGUGCUUUAUCACUCUUCCUCACCCAAACAACAAUCACAAAUAAGGGGAAAGAAUGUAUACAAAUAAUGAUAGGAAUCCUGGAAAGGGAAUGCAAUUAAAUAGUUAAAUCCCGGCAAGGGAACAAUAUCAAUAAAUUUUUAUGUCCCAGCAAGGGAGAAAAUUAACAAAAACAAAACGUCCCGGCAAGGGAAUAAACCAAUAACUCCUUCUCUUUCUUUCACUUUCAUCUCAUAGUUCACAUUAUCACUUGAGCCAAUGCUCCAAAGAUCUAAAUAUCUCAUAUACCUUCACAAAUUUGUAUUUCAACUCGAGCCAACGCUUCACGAAGUUCAUAGAUCACAAUUUCUUUCACAUGCUCUUUAUAUCAUAUAGAAGUCAUCAAUUAAGCAUGGGAGAUACAACAAAAUCAAAAUAUUCGCAAUAUAAGGACUCAUGGUAAUGCUAGACACACAUGUAUAGAUACUCGUCACCAUGCCUAUACAUCGUACUCGACAAUUAGCAAGUAGUAAAUAAGACUCAACUCCUAUUCCCUCAAGCUAAUGUUAGACCAAACACUUACCUCGAUGCUUUAAACUUAACUCAAGUCUCAAGUACAACUUUACCCCUUGAUUCCACCACAAAUCUAGUCACAAGUUACUUAAUUACAUCAAUAAACACUAAAUGAAUCAAUUUGAAUGCAUAAAAAUCAAUUUCCCAAAGUUUUGCCCAAAAAGUCCAAAAAUACCCCCAUGCCCGCGUGGCCAAAACCCGAGGUUCGAACAUAAACCCGGUUACUCAUUCCCCCACGAACCCAAAUAUAUAAUUUGUUUUUAAAUUGGACCUCAAACUGAGGUUCAAAUCCCCAAUUUUUGAAAAACCAAAGUUCUACACAAAGCCCCCAAUUUCACCCAUGAAAAUCAUUGAUUUUAAGUUGAAAACAUGUUAAAGGAUGUUAAUUAUUGAAAGAAUUGAGUAAAAAAUGAGGUAAAAAUGAUUUGGAAGGAAAAUUGUUCUUGAAAAAUCACCCAACGAGUUUGUGUUUUGAAAGAAUGGUGAAAAAUGGUUCAAAUUCGACUAAGUAAAAAAUUCGCCGGGCCUGAGAUUUCGGAAUUGCGAACAGGGUUCGCAUUUGUGAACUUUACAAGCUUGGGAAAUGCAAGAAAAUAGUUCACAUUUGUGAACACUGCCCAAUUCUCGGACCUUCGCAUUUGCGAAAUUAAUAUCACAUUUGCGAUGUUCGCAUUUGCGAGAAAAAGAUUGCAUUUGUGAUCCCAGGCAAUUAUGGGGGCUUUUCGCAUUUGCGAGUAGCCCUUCGCAUUUGCAAGACAGGUUUCCAAAUGAGUAGCCUGCUGAUCUGGGCAUACCAGCAACUUUCCAAAGUUAAAAGUGCACUCCGACAUCUAUCCAAAUCUCACCUGAGCCCUCGGGGCUCCAAACUAAACAUACAUACAACAUCAAAAAAUAUCCUACGGACUUACCCGUGUGAUCAAAUCGCCAAAAUAACAUCAUAUACAUUGAAUCAAGCCUCAAAACUCAUAAUUCCUUCCAAAUUUUCAUAAAACAUCAAAUUUCCAUUUUAAGCCCGAAAUACGUCAAAUGACGUCCAUUUUUAACCAAUUUUUACGAAAAGUGCUUAAACCAAAUAUAUGACUUGUACCGAGCUCUAGAACCAAAAUACGUGCCCGAUACCAAUACGUUCUAAUCAAUUUUCGUUUUAAUUUUUCUUAAAAAUUUUAGAAAAACAAUUUUACUCAAAAAUUCAUUUAUCGGGUUGGGCACCUCGAAAUUCGAUUCCGGACAUAUGCUCAGGUCCUCUAUUUUCAUGUGGACCCUCCGGGACCGUUAAAUUACGGGUUCGAGUCCGUUUAUCCAAAUUAUUGACCGAAUCAAAUUUAUUCAUUUUAAUAUCGUAACUUAGUAUUUUUCAUAUAAUUUCAUAUUUAAGCUUUUCGGCUAUGUGUCCGGACUGCGCACGCAAAUUGAGGCAAUAAUAAAUGAGGUUUUCAAGGCCUCUCAGAUGCAGAAUUGGAUAAGAAACAUGUGAUGGCCCUUUGUGUCAUCACAUUACCAUCAGUUGAAGAUUCGGGAACCGGAUAUGCCAAAGACUAUUUUAAGAACUCGGUAUGGUCAUUACGAGUUCCUUGUCAUGUCAUUUGGGCUGAAAAAUUUCCCAACAACCUUUAUAUAUUUAAUUCACAGUGUGUUCUGGCCAUAUCUUGAUUCAUUCGUCAUUGUCUUUAUUGAUGACAUUCUGGUAUAUUCCAGGAGUCGGGAAGAUCAUGAGCAGCACCUGAGGAUUGUGUUUCAGAGUUUGAGAGAGAAGAAGUUAUAUGUUACGUUCUCAAAUUGUGAGUUUUGGUUGGAUUCAGUGGCAUUCUUAGACCAAGUGGUAUCGAGUGAGGGCUUCCAGGUGGACCCAAAGAAGAUAGAGGUCGUGCAUAGUUGGCCUAGACCAUCCUCAGCUACAGAGAUCCGUAGUUUCCUUGGUUUAGCGGGUUAGUAUCAUCGUUUUGUGGACGGGUUUUCAUCGAUUGCAUCCCCUAUGAUUAGGUUGAUCUAGAAGGGUGUUCCAUUUUAGUGGACAGAGGAGUGUGAGGCGAGCUUUCAGAGGAUCAAGACAACUUUGACUACAACCCAGCUUUGAUAUUGCCUACCGGUUCAGGGUCUUAUACUAGCUAUUGUGAUUCCUCGAGGGUUGGCCUUAGAGUGGUGUUGAUGCAGGACAGUAGGGAGAUUGGCUACUCGUCUAGAUAGUUGAAGAUACAUGAUAAGAACUACCCUGUUCACGACCUUGAGUUAGCUGCCAUUAUUCACGCCCUGAAGAUUUGGCGCCAUUACUUAUACAAUGUGCCUUGUGAGAUUUAUACUGACCAUCGGAGAUUGCAGCACUUGUUCAAGAAAAAUGAUGUAAAUUUGCACCAGAUGAGGUGGUUGGAGUUGCCAAAGGACUAUGAUAUCACUAUUAUAUAUCACUCAGGCAAGGCCAAUAUGCUGGCCGACGCUUUGAGUCGCCGGGCAGAGAGUUUCGGGAGUUUGGCUUAUUUACCAGCAUCAUAAGGCCUAUGGCGAUGGAUAUUCAGGCCUUAACCAACCAGUUUGUGAGAUUUGACCUUUCGGAGCCCAAUCGGGUUCUAGCUUUCAUGGUUUCUCGGUCUUCCCUAUUUGAUCGUAUCAGGGAGUGGCAAUAUGAUGACCAUAAUUUGCUUGUCCUCAAGGACAAGGUUCAGCAUGGCGAUGACAGAGAUGUGACUAUUGGUGCUGAUGGGGUAUUGAGGAUGCAGGGUCGGGUCUGUGUACCCAAUGUUGAUGGUAUUCGAGAGUUGAUUCUGGAGGAUGCCCAUAACUCGCGGUAUUCCAUUCAUUCGGGUGCCGCGAAGAUGUAUCAGGAUUUGAGGCAACACUAUUGGUGGAGGCGGAUUAAGAAAGAUAUAGUUGGAUUCUUAGCCCGGUGUCUCAACUGUCUGCAGGUGAAGUACGAGCACCAAAGACAGGGUGGGUUUCUUCAGCAGAUAGAGAUUCCGGAGUGGAAGUGGGAGCGGAUCACCAUGGACUAUGUAGUUGGGCUCCCACAGACUUUGAGGAAGUUUGAUGCCAUUUGGGUGAUUGUGGAUCGACUGACCAAGUCCGCUCAUUUUAUCCUAUGUGUACUACCUAUUCUUCGGAGCGGUUGGCAGAGAUUUAUGUCUAGGAGAUUGUUUGUUUUCAUAGUAUUCCAGUUUCUAUCAUUUCAGAUAGAAACCCAGUUCACAUCACGAUUUUGGAGGUCCGUUCAACAAGAGUUGGGUACUCGGGUGGAGUUGAGCACAUCAUUUCACCCUUAGAUGGAUGGACAUUCCGAGUGCACUAAUCAGAUUCUUGAGGAUAUGCUCCAUGCGUGUGUGAUUGAGUUUGGAGGGUCUUGGGAUCAGUUUUUUCUAGUGGCAGAGUUUGCUUUUAUCAAUAGUUAUCAGUCCAGCAUUCAGAUGGCAUCAUAUGAGGUUUUAUAUGGUAGGCGGUGUAGAUCCCAGUUGGGUUGGUUUGAGUCGGGUAAGUCUAGAUUAUUAGGCAUAGAUUUGGUUCAGGAUGCUUUGGAGAAGGUUAAGGUGAUUCAGGAUAGACUCUGUACAACCCAGUCUAGACAGAAGAUUUAUGUAGAUUAGAAGGUUCGUGAUGUUUCAUAUAUGGUUGGAGAGCGGUUCUACUUCAGGUUUCACCUAUAAAGGGCGUUAUGAUAUUUGGGAAGAAAAGGAAGUUGAGUCCGAGGUUUAUUGGCCCUUUUGAGAGAUUGAGGUGUGUUGGGGAGGUUUCUUAUGAGCUUGCCCCUCCCAGCUUGGCAGGAGUUCAUCCGGUAUUUCAUGUUCGAUGUUUCAGAGGUAAUAUGGUGAUCCGUCGCACGUGUUGGAUUUCAUAUCAGUCCAGUUGGAAAAUGAUCUAUCAUAUGUUGAGGAGUCAAUGACUAUAUUGGACAGACAUGUUAGAAAGUUGACGUCAAAGAAAAUCACAUUGGUAAAGGUUAAGUGGCGGGGUCAGCCGAUCAAGGAGGCGACCUAGGAGACCGAGCAGGAUAUGCAUAGCCAUUGCCCUCAUCUUUUCACUACUUCAGGUAUGUCUCUACGCUCGUUCGAGGACGAACAAAUGUUUAAGUGUAGGAGGAUGUGACGAUCUGGCCUGUUGUCUUACGAAUUUAUGCUCCGAUCCUCUAUUAACUACUUACCCCAAGUUUAUUUCUGCUAAUGUGAUUUCUGGGAUAUUUGGUUUUGAGUUUUGGAGAGUUUUGGGACACUUAGUCCGUAAAUAAGAGCUUAAGUGUUGGAAAGUUGAUCGUAUUUGGAACAAUAAUAAGACGGCCUCGAAAUGGAAAUCUGAUCGUUCCGUUAGCUCCGUUGGCUGAUUUUGGGGUUAGGAGCGUGUCCGGUUAGGCUUGAAAUGCCGAAAGUUAAAUUUAGGAAGUUUCCGGUUCGAUAGUGUGAUUUUGAUCCGAAGGCCUCCGUCAUGUCAUUUGGGAUGUGUGCAAAAUUUCAGGUUAUUCGGAGAUGGUUUGGUUGUGUUUUUUGUCUAAGAAAAUUUGGAGUUCUUAGGCUUAAAUCCUUGAUUUAUUCGAGGUUUUGAUGUUGUUUUAGGUGUUUUAAAGAUUGGUACUAGUUUGAAUGAGGUAUUACUUGAUGUUGGUGCUUUUGGUUGAGGUCUCGGGGGUCUCGGGAUGAAUUAGGAUGGUUGACGAAAGGAUUUUUGAAGUUGAGAGAUUGCAGAUUUUAGCUGGUAUCUGUCAUAACCGCAUCUGCGCUUUGGGGACCGCAGAUACAGCGCCGAAUAAGCGGAUGUUAGUGUUUUCUCCAAAUCCGCAUCUGCAGAAGGAUUACCACCGAAGCGGUUUUGCACUUGCGACAUGGUUAUCGGAGAUGCAGUUCCUGGGCAAUUAAAUGAAAGUCACAGAUGCGAUGGGGUAUCUUCAGAAGCGGGACCGCAGAUGCGGUCCUAGAGCCUUAAAUGUGGAAGUCGCUGGGAAUAACAUAUAAAUAGUUGCCUUUGCGAAAUUGAGCCAUUCUUCCACCAUUUUCAUCCGGGUUUGAAGAUUUUAAGAGGGAUUUUCGAGGAAAACAAAGGGGAAUCACUUGGAGGUAAUGUCCCUGACUUCAUAACUCGUUUCUAUGUGAUUAAAGACCUAAUUGAUGGUGAGAAAUUUGGGGAAAAUGGGUAGUUAGGGCUUGAGUUGUACAUACUUUUAAUUGAGGAUUUGAGGGGUCAUUUGGACUCAGAUUUCAGUGUUCUUGUUAUGUAUAGACUCGUGAGAGUACGAGGUCUCUGAAAAUUUAAAUUUCACCCUAUUUCGAGAUGAGGGCUUAAGGAGCAUUUUGGUCAUUUUUCAUAAUUUCGUGUACUAGCUUAGACUUUAAUUUAGAAUCAGUUACUUGAGGUGUUAUUUACAAUAUGUAAUUGAAUUGAAUAGAUUUGGACCAUUUGGAGUCGUAUACUCGUGGAAAAAGUGUGGCGAGUUGAUUUUGAGCCGGUUCGAGGUAAGUGGCUUGUCUAACCUUGUGGGGGGGGCCUUCCCCGUAGGAUAUAGUAUUUGAUAGUUGAAAUGCCUUGUUCAUGAGGUGACGAGCGUGUACUUGAGCUAAUUGUUGAAUAUUCGGUUUUAUUUUAAGCAUUUAAACUGAGUUCCUUUGUUACUUAUUUUACUCUAUUUGCAAACUUAGCCUGUGUUAGAUUAGAAAAACAUGGUUAGUUGACUUAAUUACCUAUUUGCUUAAACUGCCUUAAUUGCAUUAUGUGAAGCAUAUCUAGAAUUAACUGUCUACUUGUUACGAACUUAGCGUUUAUUUUAAUAUUCCUGAGCUGUUGUUGUGUGUUUUUAUUUGGGACUACGGGACGACAUCCCGGGAGAUUUCCCUGCACGUAGUUAUGAUCUGGAUUGAGGUGCGGGAUACCAAGAGAUCCCUAGCAUAUAUUGAGGAUACCGGGAGAUCCUCGGGAUACCAAGAGAUCCCUAGUGUGUUUAUUGAGGAUAUCAAGAGAUCCUCGGGAUACCAAGAGAUCCCUAGUUUAUACAUUGAGGAUACAAAUAGAUCCUUGGGAUACCAAGAGAUCCCCAGCUAUUAUCCUUGUUGUGAGCGGUGUUUCCUUGCGUUUUGUCUUUAUUUUUGUUUCUGUUAUUGUAUUAUUGUCAUCCUGUAUAGACUCUUACGGUAGAUUCUUAAGUAUAUUGUUUAUCUUAACAUGUUAUUUUAUUAUUAUUAUUUAUCUCAGUUGGGCACUGACUUUCCUCGUCACUACCUGACCGAGGUUAGGUUUGACACUUACUGAGUACCGCUGUGGUAUACUCAUGCCCUUAUGCACAUAUUUUUCAUGUAUAGAUCUAGGUACCGCUGGGCAGGCUUGCCAUCCUUGAGACAGGGAGAGCUUUUGGAGACUUCGAGUUACAUAUGCCGCGUCCGCAGAUUGAAGAGUCUCCAUCUUUAUUCUAUCAUGUAGUGUUAGCCCU
Molecule: long non-coding RNA, 11825 nt
Filed under: Nicotiana benthamiana
Lineage: Eukaryota; Viridiplantae; Streptophyta; Magnoliopsida; Solanales; Solanaceae
Description: long non-coding RNA (NBEN_LNC036400)
Source: RNAcentral